GCCCUUUUCCGUGCUUCUUUCUUUUGAAUCUUCGAGUAGUCGAUUUUUAUUUUUCUUUCUUUUUCUCGAUUCAUCAAUUUUUCUUUUUCUUUUGUUUUUGCACUUUCUUGGGCUUUGAGAGCUUUUGGGGUUUUUACCCCAAACUUAGCUUUUCAACACAGCUUUGAAUGCAUUCUCAUGACUCUGAACAGGGUGAGGAAGUGUUUUGGCCAAUGGUUACAUUUAUGGUGUUUUAAACAAAAAAUGGAUAUAUGCUCAAAGGGGGUUAACGAGGGAUAU
Molecule: long non-coding RNA, 279 nt
Filed under: Lathyrus oleraceus (garden pea)
Lineage: Eukaryota; Viridiplantae; Streptophyta; Magnoliopsida; Fabales; Fabaceae
Description: Pisum sativum (pea) long non-coding RNA (PSAT_LNC007609)
Source: RNAcentral